UACGUAGGGGGCGAGCGUUGUCCGAAGUUACUGGGCGUAAAGCGUGCGCAGGCGGUUCGUUAAGUCAGAUGUGAAAGCCCCGGGCUCAACCUGGGAACUGCAUUUGAAACUGGCGGGCUUGAGUAUGGCAGAGGGGGGUGGAAUUCCGCGUGUAGCAGUGAAAUGCGUAGAGAUGCGGAGGAACACCGGUGGCGAAGGCGGAUCUCUGGGCCUUACCUGACGCUCAGGCGCGAAAGCGUGGGGAGCGAACAGG
Molecule: ribosomal RNA, 253 nt
Filed under: uncultured bacterium
Lineage: Bacteria
Description: partial 16S ribosomal RNA
Rfam family: Bacterial small subunit ribosomal RNA
Source: RNAcentral